RNAcentral lists this ribosomal RNA (428 nucleotides) under uncultured prokaryote. RNAcentral's name for it is "bacterial SSU rRNA". It matches the Rfam family "Bacterial small subunit ribosomal RNA", at positions 355 to 774 of the family's 1533-position model. The record is from RNAcentral.
UGGGGAAUAUUGCGCAAUGGGCGAAAGCCUGACGCAGCGACGCCUCGUGAGGGAUGAAGGUCUUCGGAUCGUAAACCUCUGUCAAGAGGGAAGAAACCCUUGAGUUCGAACAGGGCUCUUGGCUGACGGUACCUCAAAAGGAAGCACCGGCUAACUCCGUGCCAGCAGCCGCGGUAAUACGGAGGGUGCAAGCGUUAAUCGGAAUCACUGGGCGUAAAGCGCUCGUAGGCUGUUUGGUAAGUCAGACGUGAAAUCCCGCGGCUUAACCGCGGAACUGCGUUUGAUACUGCCAGACUUGAGUGUCGGAGAGGGUGGCGUAAGUCCGGGUGUAGGAGUGAAAUCCGUAGAUAUCCGGAGGAACACCAGAGGCAAAGGCGACCACCUGGACGACAACUGACGCUGAGGAGCGAAGGCGUGGGGAGCAAACA